Molecule: ribosomal RNA, 297 nt
Filed under: uncultured bacterium
Lineage: Bacteria
Description: partial 16S ribosomal RNA
Rfam family: Bacterial small subunit ribosomal RNA
Source: RNAcentral
AGUUCCAACGGGGCGCAGCAGUGAGGGAUAUUGGGCAAUGGGGGAAACCCUGACCCAGCGACGCCGCGUGAGGGAAGACGGUCUUCGGAUUGUAAACCUCUGUCUUUGGGGACGAAAAAGGACGGUACCCAAGGAGGAAGCUCCGGCUAACUACGUGCCAGCAGCCGCGGUAAUACGUAGGGAGCGAGCGUUGUCCGGAAUUACUGGGGGUAAAGGUAGCGUAGGCGGGAUUGCAAGUUGGAUGUGAAAACUGCGGGGUCAACCCGGAGCGUGCAGUCAAAACUGCGAUUCUUGAGU